CGCGCAGGCGGGCCGGUAAGUUGGAAGUGAAAUCUAUGGGCUUAACCCAUAAACUGCUUUCAAAACUGCUGGUCUUGAGUGAUGGAGAGGCAGGCGGAAUUCCGUGUGUAGCGAUGAAAUGCGUAGAUAUACGGAGGAACACCAGUGGCGAAGGCGGCCUGCUGGACAUUAACUGACGCUGAGGCGCGAAAGCGUGGGAGCAAACA
Molecule: ribosomal RNA, 206 nt
Filed under: uncultured bacterium
Lineage: Bacteria
Description: partial 16S ribosomal RNA
Rfam family: Bacterial small subunit ribosomal RNA
Source: RNAcentral